Molecule: ribosomal RNA, 482 nt
Filed under: uncultured Clostridiaceae bacterium
Lineage: Bacteria; Bacillati; Bacillota; Clostridia; Eubacteriales; Clostridiaceae
Description: partial 16S ribosomal RNA
Source: RNAcentral
CACGUAGUUAGCCGUGGCUUCCUCCUCAGGUACCGUCAUCAUCGUCCCUGAAGACAGAGCUUUACAACCCGAAGGCCGUCAUCACUCACGCGGCGUUGCUGCAUCAAGGUUUCCCCCAUUGUGCAAUAUUCCCCACUGCUGCCUCCCGUAGGAGUCUGGGCCGUGUCUCAGUCCCAAUGUGGCCGAUCACCCUCUCAGGUCGGCUACGCAUCGUCGCCUUGGUGAGCCGUUACCUCACCAACUAGCUAAUGCGCCGCGGGCCCAUCUCAUAGCGGAUUGCUCCUUUAAUUGCUACUUCAUGCGAAGCUACAAUCUUAUGCGGUAUUAAUCUCCCUUUCGGAAGGCUAUUCCCCUCUAUGAGGCAGGUUGCCCAGUGUUACUCACCCGUCCGCCGCUAGCUUUGUUCCGAAGAACUCCACUCGCUCGACUUGCAUGUGUUAGGCACGCCGCCAGCGUGUCUGAGCAGACGCAACUACUCUACG